RNAcentral lists this long non-coding RNA (276 nucleotides) under Equus asinus (donkey). RNAcentral describes it as "lncRNA (ENSEASG00005025977.1)". The record is from RNAcentral. Lineage: Eukaryota; Metazoa; Chordata; Mammalia; Perissodactyla; Equidae.
GUGACUUUGGGCAAAUUAAUCUCUCUAGACCUGUUUCUUCAAUCUAUAAGGUAAAGGAUUGGGCAAGAGGAACUUAAGAUUCCUUCUGACUCUAAAAUUCUAAGGCUCUGUGAUUUAACAAACAUUUUAUUUAUAGACUACAAACAGCGGAACCCUCUGUUGGUUGCUAUGGGGAAGGGGAGGUGCAGUAAGAAUACAGAAGAAUGAACUUCUCUCCAGGUGGAGUGAAGGCUUGUAAGAGACGGCCUCUUAACUGGAUGUGAGCAAGAUGUGAGC